AGUGAACGCUGGCGGUAGGCCUAACACAUGCAAGUCGAACGGCAGCACAGUAAGAGCUUGCUCUUACGGGUGGCGAGUGGCGGACGGGUGAGGAAUACAUCGGAAUCUACUUUUUCGUGGGGGAUAACGUAGGGAAACUUACGCUAAUACCGCAUACGACCUACGGGUGAAAGCAGGGGAUCUUCGGACCUUGCGCGAUUGAAUGAGCCGAUGUCGGAUUAGCUAGUUGGCGGGGUAAAGGCCCACCAAGGCGACGAUCCGUAGCUGGUCUGAGAGGAUGAUCAGCCAAACUGGAACUGAGACACGGUCCAGACUCCUACGGGAGGCAGCAGUGGGGAAUAUUGGACAAUGGGCGCAAGCCUGAUACAGCCAUACCGCGUGGGUGAAGAAGGCCUUCGGGUUGUAAAGCCCUUUUGUUGGGAAAGAAAAGCAGCAGGUUAAUACCCCGCUGUUCUGACGGUACCCAAAGAAUAAGCACCGGCUAACUUCGUG
This 492-nucleotide ribosomal RNA is filed under the name uncultured bacterium. RNAcentral describes it as "partial 16S ribosomal RNA". It matches the Rfam family "Bacterial small subunit ribosomal RNA", at positions 29 to 507 of the family's 1533-position model. The record is from RNAcentral.